Molecule: long non-coding RNA, 194 nt
Organism: Herpailurus yagouaroundi (jaguarundi)
Lineage: Eukaryota; Metazoa; Chordata; Mammalia; Carnivora; Felidae
Exons: 3
Source: RefSeq, a predicted model, not a curated record
CUUUUCACUAUCACUAACGGAUGUUGACUACAGUACAGUAUUAAUAAACUCUUGUCACAUACUGUAUUUACUGUAACUUGCAAUAAGGCAGCAGAUGAAAGGGUCUCUAUCUGCAGGCAGCCUGACCUAGAAUGAAGUGCAGCAUUCCUAAGCUCACUCUUAUAUGGAAAAGCAAAGGACAGCCCAUAGGUGCU